GUACGACGGAGCACGUGAAAUUCCGUCGGAAUCUGGGAGGACCAUCUCCUAAGGCUAAAUACUCUCUAGUGACCGAUAGUGAACCAGUACCGUGAGGGAAAGGUGAAAAGCACCCCGGAAGGGGAGUGAAAUAGAACCUGAAACCGUGUGCUUACAAGUAGUCAGAGCCCGUUAAUGGGUGAUGGCGUGCCUUUUGUAGAAUGAACCGGCGAGUUACGAUUUGAUGCAAGGUUAAGCAGUAAAUGUGGAGCCGUAGCGAAAGCGAGUCUGAAUAGGGCGUUUAGUAUUUGGUCGUAGACCCGAAACCAGGUGAUCUACCCUUGGUCAGGUUGAAGUUCAGGUAACACUGAAUGGAGGACCGAACCGACUUACGUUGAAAAGUGAGCGGAUGAACUGAGGGUAGCGGAGAAAUUCCAAUCGAACCUGGAGAUAGCUGGUUCUCUCCGAAAUAGCUUUAGGGCUAGCCUCAAGUGAUGAUUAUUGGAGGUAGAGCACUGUUUGGACGAGGGGCCCCUCUCGGGUUACCGAAUUCAGACAAACUCCGAAUGCCAAUUAAUUUAACUUGGGAGUCAGAACAUGGGUGAUAAGGUCCGUGUUCGAAAGGGAAACAGCCCAGACCACCAGCUAAGGUCCCAAAAUAUAUGUUAAGUGGAAAAGGAUGUGGCGUUGCCCAGACAACUAGGAUGUUGGCUUAGAAGCAGCCAUCAUUUAAAGAGUGCGUAAUAGCUCACUAGUCGAGUGACACUGCGCCGAAAAUGUACCGGGGCUAAACAUAUUACCGAAGCUGUGGAUUGUCCUUUGGACAAUGGUAGGAGAGCGUUCUAAGGGCGUUGAAGCAUGAUCGUAAGGACAUGUGGAGCGCUUAGAAGUGAGAAUGCCGGUGUGAGUAGCGAAAGACGGGUGAGAAUCCCGUCCACCGAUUGACUAAGGUUUCCAGAGGAAGGCUCGUCCGCUCUGGGUUAGUCGGGUCCUAAGCUGAGGCCGACAGGCGUAGGCGAUGGAUAACAGGUUGAUAUUCCUGUACCACCUAUAAUCGUUUUAAUCGAUGGGGGGACGCAGUAGGAUAGGCGAAGCGUGCGAUUGGAUUGCACGUCUAAGCAGUAAGGCUGAGUAUUAGGCAAAUCCGGUACUCGUUAAGGCUGA
This 1143-nucleotide ribosomal RNA is filed under the name Staphylococcus aureus. RNAcentral describes it as "partial 23S ribosomal RNA". It matches the Rfam family "Bacterial large subunit ribosomal RNA", at positions 412 to 1559 of the family's 2925-position model. Lineage: Bacteria; Bacillati; Bacillota; Bacilli; Caryophanales; Staphylococcaceae. The record is from RNAcentral.